This 384-nucleotide long non-coding RNA is filed under the name Phaseolus vulgaris (common bean). RNAcentral's name for it is "long non-coding RNA (PVUL_LNC005049)". Lineage: Eukaryota; Viridiplantae; Streptophyta; Magnoliopsida; Fabales; Fabaceae. The record is from RNAcentral.
ACAGCUUCCCAAAUUAAUGCAUCAAUGGAUUCCAUGAAAAUUCUCAUUCUAACUUUCCAAAAUGCAUAAUUCAUUCCAUUAAACAUAGGUGGUCUAUUAACAGCAGAACCUUCAGCAAAAAGCACAUUGAACUCAGACAUUAUUACAAACAAACUUGAUUAAAAUACAAGUCCUAGCUCUUGAUACCAAUUGUUGGGUUUAAUAGUGCCAAAGUUCAAGAGGGGGGGUGAAUUGACCUUUUAAAACUUCUUCGCAGAAACAGUGUUUAACCCAGUUUUACAGAAAAUAAAUCGAUUUAUGUAAAAAUGAACAGAUUUAUUUCAGCACUGUUUUUGUUUGAAAAGCUUUUAAUUCAGCAAGAUUAAUCACAAGAUUAUGCAGUGA